This 206-nucleotide long non-coding RNA is filed under the name Brassica napus (rape). Its description in RNAcentral is "long non-coding RNA (BNAP_LNC015376)". Lineage: Eukaryota; Viridiplantae; Streptophyta; Magnoliopsida; Brassicales; Brassicaceae. The record is from RNAcentral.
AUCUAGCCGCUCAGUAUAUGUGUGUGUCAAGUCGAUCUCCCUUCUUUUUGUUCCCUUCUCCUCUUUUAUAGGCUUCCUCUCCUUGAUGCCCUAAUUUCGGUCUUCUCUGGGCCUUAGUUCGAGGAAGCCGAGUAUACGGGCCUGGGUGAAGUUCCUCCGAGCCGGGUGCUUUUGGUCGGCUUUGCCAACGGCUAAAAACACUCUAG